RNAcentral lists this ribosomal RNA (492 nucleotides) under uncultured bacterium. RNAcentral describes it as "partial 16S ribosomal RNA". It matches the Rfam family "Bacterial small subunit ribosomal RNA", at positions 29 to 507 of the family's 1533-position model. The record is from RNAcentral.
AGUGAACGCUGGCGGUAGGCCUAACACAUGCAAGUCGAACGGCAGCACAGUAAGAGCUUGCUCUUACGGGUGGCGAGUGGCGGACGGAUGAGGAAUACAUCGGAAUCUACUUUUUCGUGGGGGAUAACGUAGGGAAACUUACGCUAAUACCGCAUACGACCUACGGGUGAAAGCAGGGGAUCUUCGGACCUUGCGCGAUUGAAUGAGCCGAUGUCGGAUUAGCUAGUUGGCGGGGUAAAGGCCCACCAAGGCGACGAUCCGUAGCUGGUCUGAGAGGAUGAUCAGCCACACUGGAACUGAGACACGGUCCAGACUCCUACGGGAGGCAGCAGUGGGGAAUAUUGGACAAUGGGCGCAAGCCUGAUCCAGCCAUACCGCGUGGGUGAAGAAGGCCUUCGGGUUGUAAAGCCCUUUUGUUGGGAAAGAAAAGCAGCAGGUUAAUACCCCGCUGUUCUGACGGUACCCAAAGAGUAAGCACCGGCUAACUUCGUG